RNAcentral lists this ribosomal RNA (508 nucleotides) under uncultured Paraglomeraceae. RNAcentral's name for it is "bacterial SSU rRNA". It matches the Rfam family "Eukaryotic small subunit ribosomal RNA", at positions 569 to 1078 of the family's 1831-position model. The record is from RNAcentral. Lineage: Eukaryota; Fungi; Glomeromycota; Glomeromycetes; Paraglomerales.
AGCAGCCGCGGUAAUUCCAGCUCCAAUAGCGUAUAUUAAAGUUGUUGCAGUUAAAAAGCUCGUAGUUGAACUUCAGGCCUGUCCAGAUGGUCCGCCUUAAUUGGUGUGUACUGUCCUUGGGUGGGUCCUACCUUCUGGCGAAGCGGCAUGGCCUUAAUUAGUUGUGUCGGGGAACCAGGACUUUUACUGUGAAAAAACUAGAGUGUUCAAAGCAGGCAAAUAUGCUCGAAUACAUUAGCAUGGAAUAAUGGAAUAGGACGAUGGUUCUAUUUUGUUGGUUCUAGGACCGUUGUAAUGAUUAAUAGGGAUAGUUGGGGGCAUUAGUAUUCAAUUGUCAGAGGUGAAAUUCUUGGAUUUAUUGAAGACUAACCACUGCGAAAGCAUUUGCCAAGGAUGUUUUCAUUAAUCAAGAACGAAAGUUAGGGGAUCGAAGACGACCAGAUACCGUCGUAGUCUUAACCAUAAACUAUGCCGACUAGGAAUCGGGCGAUGUUGACAAAAUGACUCG